RNAcentral lists this ribosomal RNA (291 nucleotides) under uncultured bacterium. RNAcentral's name for it is "partial 16S ribosomal RNA". It matches the Rfam family "Bacterial small subunit ribosomal RNA", at positions 35 to 358 of the family's 1533-position model. The record is from RNAcentral.
GCUGGCGGCGUGUUCACACAUGCAAGGAGNACGAACCUUCGGGUUAGUGGCGGACGGGUGAGUAACGCGUGUGACCCUGCCCUCAGGAGGAAAAUAACGGUUGGAAACGACCGCUAAUACCCCAUAUGCCGAGAGGUGAAAAGAAAUUCGCCUGAGGAUGAGCUCGCGUCUGAUUAGCUAGUUGGUGUGGUAAUGGCGCACCAAGGCUUCGAUCAGUAGCUGGUCUGAGAGGAUGAUCAGCCACACUGGGACUGAGACACGGCCCAGACUCCUACGGGAGGCAGCAGUGGG